Molecule: ribosomal RNA, 341 nt
Filed under: uncultured Acidobacteriota bacterium
Lineage: Bacteria; Pseudomonadati; Acidobacteriota
Description: bacterial SSU rRNA
Rfam family: Bacterial small subunit ribosomal RNA
Source: RNAcentral
GAUCCUGGCUCAGAAUCAACGCUGGCGGCAUGCCUAACACAUGCAAGUCGAGCGAGAAAGGGUAGCAAUACCUGAGUAAAGCGGCGCACGGGUGAGUAACACGUGGAUAACCUGCCUCAAAGUGGGGAAUAACACCGGGAAACCGGUGCUAAUACCGCAUAUUCUGACGAGAUCUGUGGAUUUUGUCAGGAAAGGAGCAAUUCGCUAUGAGAGGGGUCCGCGGCUGAUUAGCUAGUUGGUGAGGUAAUGGCUCACCAAGGCUUCGAUCAGUAGCCGGUCUGAGAGGACGGUCGGCCACACUGGAACUGAGACACGGUCCAGACUCCUACGGGAGGCAGCAG